RNAcentral lists this small RNA (954 nucleotides) under Arabidopsis thaliana (thale cress). Its description in RNAcentral is "ATSL096080". Lineage: Eukaryota; Viridiplantae; Streptophyta; Magnoliopsida; Brassicales; Brassicaceae. The record is from RNAcentral.
CGACGGAGGCCGAGGAAGCGAAUGGUCGAACGACCAAGGUGAGGCAUAACCGUACCGACCUUAGGCCGAACGGUCUUAAAAGGGCUCGGGAAUUCGGUUGAUGCGAUCUAUCCUUCUAAUAUUCUGUUCUAACGAUUGAGUUAUGUGUGGGGGGUGAAACAUGGGGAGCAUCAUAGCAUAUGCAUGAUCGCUAAGUGUAAACUACGGCAUACUCAUGAUUCGUUAAUUUCAGGAUUUGACCAAAUUCGUGGGAAGGAUUUGGCUUAGCUGCAAGGAUGGUUGUUCGGGCAAGUGGGUGGUGUUUAAGUCAAAGUAUUGGAUCGAAUGAUUGUAAUAGCCUAUAGUGCAAACACUCAUGUCGUUCGAAACCUUAUAUGAAUAAAGUUGGCUUGUUUCUUUAUGUGAAUUUGUCUCUUUUUACUUAUGAAUCUCAGAAUUUCCGCUGCCAAUUACACUUAGAGCGAAUUCGGAUAGGACCCGAGGACACUUGAGUUAUCCUCGGAUGGGAACAACCUCACCGGACGGACAGCCCGGGAUGGGACGUUUCAAGUCUCUCCUGAGUUUAAUUGUUGUUAGAAUCAAUUUGUUAAGUUGAGUGCGUGACCAUGAGCUUAUCUGAGCGAUUGGGUUGUAUGAUUUGUUUUGUGGGAUGAUAUGUAGGUGUGGUGAAUGUGUUUUUGGGUGAAUUGUUCAAUAACUGGUUCGUUAUGUUGUAUUUGUGAUUAUACCCCUUUUCUUUGCUUGUGUGUAUAGCUGGUAGAAGGAAGGAUCACCUCACUAAGUAUUUGUGAUAAUACUUACGCAUAUCUUUCUUUUUGGUGCAGUUAAAGAUAAAGUGUGAUCGUGGAAUCAUGGCAAGGAAGAGAGGAUGAUCUAGGAACUCGUUUGAUUUAUUUUUGUGUUUUGGUUAUUGGAACUGGUAAGGGUUGUGUUAGGAUUGUUAGUCAUCAUUUA